Molecule: ribosomal RNA, 850 nt
Filed under: uncultured bacterium
Lineage: Bacteria
Description: bacterial SSU rRNA
Rfam family: Bacterial small subunit ribosomal RNA
Source: RNAcentral
GCUUAUCUGCAGUCGUGGGGCAGCGCGGGUAGUAAUACCUGGCGGCGACCGGCAAACGGGUGCGGAACACGUACGCAACCUUCCUUUAAGCGGGGAAUAGCCCAGGGAAACUUGGAUUAAUACCCCAUAAGAUUAUGGUGUGGCAUCACACAGUAAUUAAAGCUCCGGCACUUAAAGAUGGGCGUGCGGCUGAUUAGGUAGCUGGCGGGGUAACGGCCCACCAAGCCUACGAUCAGUAACUGGUGUGAGAGCACGACCAGUCACACGGGCACUGAGACACGGGCCCGACUCCUACGGGAGGCAGCAGUAAGGAAUAUUGGUCAAUGGACGCAAGUCUGAACCAGCCAUGCCGCGUGGAGGAUGAAGGCCCUCUGGGUUGUAAACUUCUUUUAUUUGGGAAGAAACCGGACUUUUCUAAGGCCGUUGACGGUACCAGAUGAAUAAGCACCGGCUAACUCCGUGCCAGCAGCCGCGGUAAUACGGAGGGUGCAAGCGUUAUCCGGAUUCACUGGGUUUAAAGGGUGCGUAGGUGGGCAGGUAAGUCAGUGGUGAAAUCUCUGGGCUUAACCCAGAAACUGCCGUUGAUACUAUCUGUCUUGAAUAUAGUGGAGGUGAGCGGAAUAUGUCAUGUAGCGGUGAAAUGCUUAGAUAUGACAUAGAACACCCAUUGCGAAGGCAGUUCGCUACACUAUCAUUGACACUGAGGCACGAAAGCGUGGGGAUCAAACAGGAUUAGAUACCCUGGUAGUCCACGCCCUAAACGAUGGAUACUCGACAUCAGCGAUACACUGUUGGUGUCUGAGCGAAAGCAUUAAGUAUCCCACCUGGGAAGUACGACCGCAAGGUUGAA